AUUGAACGCUGGCGGCAGGCCUAACACAUGCAAGUCGAGCGAGCGGCGGACGGGUGAGGAAUGUAUGGGGAUCUGCCCGGUAGAGGGGGAUAACUACUGGAAACGGUGGCUAAUACCGCAUACUAUCGGAUGAACCCAUAUUGGAUUAGCUAGUAGGUGGGGUAAAGGCUCACCUAGGCGACGAUCUCUAGCUGGUCUGAGAGGAUGAUCAGCCACACUGGAACUGAGACACGGCCCAGACUCCUACGGGAGGCAGCAGUGGGGAAUAUUGCACAAUGGGCGCAAGCCUGAUGCAGCCAUGCCGCGUGUGUGAAGAAGGCCUUCGGGUUGUAAAGCCCUUUUGGCGGGGAGGCGUUACCCAAAGAAGAAGCACCGGCUAACUCCGUGCCAGCAGCCGCGGUAAUAC
Molecule: ribosomal RNA, 406 nt
Filed under: uncultured bacterium
Lineage: Bacteria
Description: partial 16S ribosomal RNA
Rfam family: Bacterial small subunit ribosomal RNA
Source: RNAcentral